This 30-nucleotide non-coding RNA is filed under the name Rattus norvegicus (Norway rat). Lineage: Eukaryota; Metazoa; Chordata; Mammalia; Rodentia; Muridae. The record is from RNAcentral.
UUUGAUAGAUGUAAUUGUCAUCUCAGAGGC